AUUGAACGCUGGCGGCAUGCUUUACACAUGCAAGUCGAACGGCAGCGCGGGCUUCGGCCUGGCGGCGAGUGGCGAACGGGUGAGUAAUACAUCGGAACGUGCCCAGUAGUGGGGGGUAGCUCGGCGAAAGCCGGAUUAAUACCGCAUACGACCUGAGGGUGGAAGCGGGGGAUCUUCGGACCUCGCGCUAUUGGAGCGGCCGAUGGCAGAUUAGCUAGUUGGUGGGGUAAAGGCCUACCAAGGCGACGAUCUGUAGCUGGUCUGAGAGGACGACCAGCCACACUGGGACUGAGACACGGCCCAGACUCCUACGGGAGGCAGCAGUGGGGAAUUUUGGACAAUGGGCGAAAGCCUGAUCCAGCAAUGCCGCGUGUGUGAUGAAGGCCUUCGGGUUGUAAAGCACUUUUGGCGGGAACGAAAAGGACUGUGCCAAUACCACGGUUCGAUGACGGUACCCGCAGAAUAAGCACCGGCUAACUACGUG
Molecule: ribosomal RNA, 484 nt
Filed under: uncultured bacterium
Lineage: Bacteria
Description: partial 16S ribosomal RNA
Rfam family: Bacterial small subunit ribosomal RNA
Source: RNAcentral